Brienomyrus brachyistius is the source of this 1757-nucleotide long non-coding RNA. RefSeq lists it as uncharacterized. The record is from RefSeq and is a predicted model, not a curated record. NCBI's taxonomy places the organism in Eukaryota, Metazoa, Chordata, Actinopteri, Osteoglossiformes, Mormyridae. The transcript has 3 exons.
CAGCACAACAGUCCCACAUGAUUUGCGGCAGAAAUAGUAAGACGCAUCCGCUAAGAUGGGCUUGUCAUCACACCACGCAUAUUUACCGAUACAGGAUCGAAUUCAUCUGCAGCCUUUGCAUUGACGUUCAGUUUUAGCUAUAAUCCGUCUGCUACAUGUGCACGAAAACAAAUACGAUGCUUUACUGCAUGCAGACAAGGUUAACAAAAACAUUUCACAUUUGUGCAGUGGUUGAUUUGCUGGGCUCGGAUCAGGAAAGUGUUAAAUUCAGAUGUAGUAAAUCUGCUAUAUCGGGAUAUAGAAGCCGCGGCAAACUAGUAUUUCUUACUAGAGACUCCCGCUGUUUUGACCGGCCUAUUUAAGAAAUGGAUGAAGUUAUGUAAGCUCUUAAAAUAAAGUUCCACUUCCUUUCUCUGUUUCUCACAUACACAGACAGGAGCAUGAGCACAAUAGUCGCCCACAAAACAUCCUGUGUAUUCCAGCAACGAGUCCUUUCCCAAUUAACAACUAAAGCAAACUGUCAAGAUAGCAUUUGGUUAGUAAACUGGAGAUCAAUCGAACUAUAGACCUAACAGGACCUUUGAAACUCCCUUAAAUCGCAAAUGAGACCUGCUGAGAUUUCACCGGUGAUUAGUUUAGGGAAAUUACGUGUGAUCAUUGUGGAAAUAACAAUGGGCGUCUUGAUUCGAAACUGGCUCGCAGAAAGUAAAUUAUAAUCCAAUCACCAGACGGAACUUUUUCUCUGCAUGUUUUUCUGAACCACAUUUGUGUUCAAAGUUUGGCGCCAUAAAUGUCAUAACAGAAAUAUUGGAAAUUAUUUUGAAAUCGGUUUUGCAAUAUUAUAAUAUAACGCCAUUAGCCACAUCGCCUCAUAAUUUAUGUAUAAUACUGAGAUUUUUAACCAUCUGCUAGCAACAUAUUUAGAAUUACAGCGCUGAAAUUAGACAGGACAUAUCUGAUGACACGUAACGAAUGUCUUCGGGGGGCAACGUCACUUGGGUUACGUUCCUUUUAGAAUCAGUCCCUAGCAUACGUUUAUACUUUCACCAAUGCGUAAUGCAUGCCAAUUCGCCAUAAGUAAAUACAGUUUCUUAAUACUCAUUCGAGGGAAGAAGGGUAAUCCUGUUCCAGAAAAUAUUAAGAAAACUAACAACCGAUAGCCACAUGCAAGCGAUCGAUGCGGGCAGCAUCCAGAGCGAGGCGCCUUCUGUCAGGACGAGACACUUUCGCGAAAGUGUGAGUGUGAAACGAAGCUGACGGUGGAAUUACACAGCCUGAGCUGCCUAAUGCUUCCCACAGAGCUGUGGCCCCGUCAUCUCUCUCCCUUAAUGGCAUCCUGCCACCCCUUCAUAUCUCAACCUGUUUGUUGAGUUACUGCGUCCAGGACACUCUCGUGUUUGCUCUGUGGCCGAACCAACAAGAGGAGGCUACGUUGGACAGCAGGUCGCUUCCGGCUCAAAAUUUCUAAGACAAAAUUUCUGCACACAAGAAUAAGGUGAAGCAGGAGACACUGGCAGUGACCAAAGACCUGGCAGGAUGACAUCGACUGACCUUCGAGAGGAAUGGGAAGCAUUAAGUGCAAGUGUGAAGUGCACAAAUAGGACAGUUCGUAUCAGGCUCCUAGAAGCAGGACUGAAGACCCAUAAGGCAAAGAAGAAGCCCUUCAUCAGCGAGUAAAAGAGCCACCAGACUGCAGUUUGCAAAAAUAUAUAUAUUAUUCACAGACACACAUCAAUAAAUUGUGAAAUGAGUGAAAC